AGUUUGAUUAUGGCUCAGAUUGAACGCUGGCGGGAUGCUUUACACAUGCAAGUCGAACGGGCAGCACGACUCUCGGUCUGGUGGCGAGUGGCGAACGGGUGAGUAAUGUAUCGGAACGUGCCUAGUAGCGGGGAUAACCACGGCGAAAGGUGGCGCAUUACCGCAUACACCCUUCGGGAAAGCGGGGACCUCUUCGGGCCUCGCACUAUUAGAGCGGCCGAUAUCGGAUUAGCUAGUUGGUGGGGUAACGGCUCACCAAGGGCGACGAUCCGUAGCUGGUCGAGGAGGACGACCAGCCACAUCAGACUGGAGAUACAGCCCAGACUCCUACGGGAGGCAGCAGUGGGGAAUUUUGGAUUAAUGGGGAAACUCCUGAUCCAGCCAUCCUGCAAGAUGAAGGCCUUCGGGUUGUAAAGCACUUUUGGCAGGUACGAAACGGCACGGAUAAUACCCAGCAACUGGACGGUACCUGCAGAAUAGCACCGGUUAACCACGCCGUUGCAGCCGCGUAAUAUGUAGGGCAAUGCUAAUCGGAAUUACUGGGCGUAAGCGUGCGCAGGCGGUUCGGAAAGAAAGAUGUGAAUCCAGAGCUAGAACUUUGGAACUGCAUUUUUAAUCAUCAGAGCUAGAGUGUGUCAGAGGGAGGUGGAAUUCGCGUGUAGUAAGUGAAAUGCGUAGAUAUGCGAGUGAACACGAUGGCGAAGGUGGCCUCCGGGAUAACACUGACGCUCAUGCAUCAGUGGGGAGCAAACAGGAUUAGAUAUUCUGGUAGUCCACGCCCUAAACGAUGUCAACUAGCUGUUGGGGCCUUCGGGCCUUGGUAGCGCAGCUAACGCGUGAAGUUGACCGCCUGGGGAGUAAUGGUCGCAAGAUUAAAACUCAAAGGAAUUGAUUUAGACCCGCACAAGCGGUGGAUGAUGUGGAUUAAUUCGAUGAACGCGAAAACCUUACCUACUCCUUGACAUGUCUGGAAUCCCGAAGUGAUUUGGGAGUGCUCGCAAGAGAACCGGAACACAGGUGUUGCAUGGCUGUCGUCAGCCUGUCGCAGAUGUUGGGUUAAGUCCUGCAACGAGCGCAACCCCUGUCAUUAGUUGCUACGAAAGGGCACUCUAAUGAGACUGCCGGUGACAAACCGGAGGAAGGUGUAUUACGACGUCAAGUCCUCAUGGCCUUAUGGGUAGGGCUUCAUCGUCAUACAAUGGUCGGGACAGAGGUCGCCAACUCGCGAGGGGGAGCCAUCCUGUGAAACCCGAUCGUAGUCCGAUCGCAGGUCUGCAACCUGACUGCAGUCAACUUAUAAUCGCGGAUCAGCAUGUCGCGGUGAAUACGUUCCCGGGUCUUGCAUACACCGCCCGUCACACCAUGGGAGUGGUUUCACCAGGCGGAAGUUAGCCUAAACUAAGGAGGGCGAUUACCACGUAGGAUUCAUGACUGGGGUGAAGUCGUACAAGGUAGCUCUGAAAGAGCUACCUGAUG
This 1476-nucleotide ribosomal RNA is filed under the name uncultured Bordetella sp. RNAcentral describes it as "partial 16S-23S ribosomal RNA intergenic spacer". It matches the Rfam family "Bacterial small subunit ribosomal RNA". The record is from RNAcentral. Lineage: Bacteria; Pseudomonadati; Pseudomonadota; Betaproteobacteria; Burkholderiales; Alcaligenaceae.